AUAGUUACCUGGUUGAUUCUGCCAGUAGUCAUAUGCUUGUCUCAAAGAUUAAGCCAUGCAUGUCUAAGUAUAAGCAAUCUAUACGGUGAAACUGCGAAUGGCUCAUUAAAUCAGUUAUCGUUUAUUUGAUAGUACCUUACUACUUGGAUAACCGUGGUAAUUCUAGAGCUAAUACAUGCUAAAAACCCCGACUUCGGAAGGGGUGUAUUUAUUAGAUAAAAAACCAAUGCCCUUCGGGGCUCCUUGGUGAUUCAUAAUAACUCAACGAAUCGCAUGGCCUUGUGCCGGCGAUGGUUCAUUCAAAUUUCUGCCCUAUCAACUUUCGAUGGUAGGAUAGUGGCCUACCAUGGUUUCAACGGGUAACGGGGAAUUAGGGUUCUAUUCCGGAGAGGGAGCCUGAGAAACGGCUACCACAUCCAAGGAAGGCAGCAGGCGCGCAAAUUACCCAAUCCCGACACGGGGAGGUAGUGACAAUAAAUACUGAUACAGGGCUCUUUUGGGUCUUGUAAUUGGAAUGAGUACAAUUUAAAUCCCUUAACG
This 540-nucleotide ribosomal RNA is filed under the name Acidithiobacillus sp. MC6.1. RNAcentral describes it as "SSU rRNA". It matches the Rfam family "Eukaryotic small subunit ribosomal RNA", at positions 1 to 539 of the family's 1831-position model. Lineage: Bacteria; Pseudomonadati; Pseudomonadota; Acidithiobacillia; Acidithiobacillales; Acidithiobacillaceae. The record is from RNAcentral.